Molecule: ribosomal RNA, 818 nt
Filed under: uncultured bacterium
Lineage: Bacteria
Description: bacterial SSU rRNA
Rfam family: Bacterial small subunit ribosomal RNA
Source: RNAcentral
AGUUUGAUCCUGGCUCGAAUGAACGCUGGCGGCAGGCCUAACACAUGCAAGUCGAACGGAGUUAUAUUGUAGCUUGCUAUGGUAUAACUUAGUGGCAGACGGGUGAGUAAUGUAUAGGAAUCUACCUAGUAGUACGGAAUAAUUGUUGGAAACGGCAACUAAUACCGUAUACGCCCUACGGGGGAAAAAUUUAUUGCUAUUAGAUGAGCCUAUAUUAGAUUAGCUAGUUGGUGGAGUAAUAGCCUACCAAGGCAAUGGUCUAUAGCUGAUCUGAGAGGAUGAUCAGCCACACUGGAACUGAGAUACGGUCCAGACUCCUACGGGAGGCAGCAGUGGGGAAUAUUGGACAAUGGGCGAAAGCCUGAUCCAGCCAUGCCGCAUGAGUGAAGAAGGCCUUUGGGUUGUAAAGCUCUUUUAGUGAGGAAGAUAAUGACGGUACUCACAGAAGAAGUCCUGGCUAACUCCGUGCCAGCAGCCGCGGUAAUACGGAGAGGGCUAGCGUUAUUCGGAAUUAUUGGGCGUAAAGGGCGCGUAGGCGGAUUAGUAAGUUAAAAGUGAAAUCCCAAGGCUCAACCUUGGAAUUGCUUUUAAAACUGCUAAUCUAGAGAUUGAAAGAGGAUAGGGGAAUUCCUAGUGUAGAGGUGAAAUUCGUAAAUAUUAGGAGGAACACCAGUGGCGAAGGCGUCUAUCUGGUUCAAAUCUGACGCUGAGGCGCGAAGGCGUGGGGAGCAAACAGGAUUAGAUACCCUGGUAGUCCACGCUGUAAACGAUGAAUGUUAAAUAUGGGAAGUUUUACUUUCUGUAUUACAGCUAACGCG